GACGAACCGUGCGAACGUUAUUCGGAAUCACUGGGCUUAAAGGGCGCGUAGACGGGUCGGCGCAUCGGUCGCUGAAAUCCCCCGGCUCAACCGGGGAACGGGCGCCGAGAUGGCCGUCCUCGAGUGGAGGAGAGGGACCUGGAACUGCCGGUGGAGCGGUGAAAUGCGUUGAGAUCGGCAGGAACUCCGAUGGCGAAAGCAAGGUCCUGGACUCCCACUGACGUUGAGGCGCGAAAGCCAGGGGAGCAAACGGG
RNAcentral lists this ribosomal RNA (254 nucleotides) under uncultured bacterium. Its description in RNAcentral is "partial 16S ribosomal RNA". It matches the Rfam family "Bacterial small subunit ribosomal RNA", at positions 524 to 776 of the family's 1533-position model. The record is from RNAcentral.